AACUAACGCUAGCGGCGUGCCUAACACAUGCAAGUCGUACGAGAAAGUCGGCUUCGGCUGAUGAGUAAAGUGGCGCACGGGUGAGUAACGCGUGGAUAAUCUACCCUUAAGUUUGGAAUAACGUACCGAAAGGUGCGCUAAUACCUGAUAACACUGCAUAACUACUGUUGUGUAGUCAAAGAAGGCCUCUGCUUGCAAGCUUUCGCUGAAGGAUGAGUCCGCGUACCAUUAGCUAGUUGGUAGGGUAAUGGCCUACCAAGGUUAUGAUGGUUAGCUGGUCUGAGAGGAUGAUCAGCCACACUGGAACUGAAACACGGUCCAGACUCCUACGGGAGGCAG
Molecule: ribosomal RNA, 339 nt
Filed under: uncultured Pseudomonadota bacterium
Lineage: Bacteria; Pseudomonadati; Pseudomonadota
Description: bacterial SSU rRNA
Rfam family: Bacterial small subunit ribosomal RNA
Source: RNAcentral